RNAcentral lists this ribosomal RNA (519 nucleotides) under uncultured eukaryote. RNAcentral describes it as "SSU rRNA". It matches the Rfam family "Eukaryotic small subunit ribosomal RNA", at positions 1161 to 1699 of the family's 1831-position model. The record is from RNAcentral.
AGGGCACCACCAGGAGUGGAGCCUGCGGCUUAAUUUGACUCAACACGGGAAAACUCACCCGGCCCGGACACUGGAAGGGUUGACAGAUUGAGAGCUCUUUCUUGAUUCAGUGGGUGGUGGUGCAUGGCCGUUCUUAGUUGGUGGAGCGAUUUGUCUGGUUAAUUCCGAUAACGAACGAGACUCUAGCCUACUAAAUAGAUCGUCGGCUUACAAACGCCGAUGAGACUUCUUAGAGGGACAGGCGGCGAUUCAGCCGCACGAAGCAGAGCAAUAACAGGUCUGUGAUGCCCUUAGAUGUCCGGGGCCGCACGCGCGCUACACUGAAGUGAUCAGCGUGCAUUUUCAGCCUACUCUGCCAAGAGUGGGAAACCCAAUGAACCCUCUUCGUGAUUGGGAUAGAGGAUUGUAAUUAUUCCCCUUGAACGAGGAAUUCCCAGUAAGCGCGAGUCAUAAGCUCGCGUUGAUUACGUCCCUGCCCUUUGUACACACCGCCCGUCGCUACUACCGAUUGAAUGUUUU